ACGGGUGAGUAAUGUCUGGGAAACUGCCUGAUGGAGGGGGAUAACUACUGGAAACGGUAGCUAAUACCGCAUAACGUCGCAAGACCAAAGAGGGGGACCUUCGGGCCUCUUGCCAUCAGAUGUGCCCAGAUGGGAUUAGCUAGUAGGUGGGGUAACGGCUCACCUAGGCGACGAUCCCUAGCUGGUCUGAGAGGAUGACCAGCCACACUGGAACUGAGACACGGUCCAGACUCCUACGGGAGGCAGCAGUGGGGAAUAUUGCACAAUGGGCGCAAGCCUGAUGCAGCCAUGCCGCGUGUGUGAAGAAGGCCUUCGGGUUGUAAAGCACUUUCAGCGGGGAGGAAGGGGGUAAGGUUAAUAACCUUGCUCUUUGACGUUACCCGCAGAAGAAGCACCGGCUAACUCCGUGCCAGCAGCCGCGGUAAUACGGAGGGUGCAAGCGUUAAUCGGAAUUACUGGGCGUAAAGCGCACGCAGGCGGUCUGUCAAGUCGGAUGUGAAAUCCCCGGGCUCAACCUGGGAACUGCAUCCGAAACUGGCAGGCUUGAGUCUCGUAGAGGGAGGUAGAAUUCCAGGUGUAGC
RNAcentral lists this ribosomal RNA (581 nucleotides) under uncultured bacterium. RNAcentral describes it as "bacterial SSU rRNA". It matches the Rfam family "Bacterial small subunit ribosomal RNA", at positions 102 to 679 of the family's 1533-position model. The record is from RNAcentral.